RNAcentral lists this ribosomal RNA (113 nucleotides) under Candidatus Yanofskybacteria bacterium GW2011_GWE2_40_11. RNAcentral also lists the same sequence under 2 other names. The record is from RNAcentral. Lineage: Bacteria; Candidatus Yanofskyibacteriota.
UGUAAGGUAGCUAUACCAAGGGUGCUCCACCUGAUCCCAUUCCGAACUCAGAAGUGAAAUCCCUUAUGGCCCAUGAUAGUCGGUUUUCCCGGCGAAAGUAGGUAGCUGCCUCA